This 75-nucleotide transfer RNA is filed under the name Ignavibacteria bacterium. RNAcentral describes it as "tRNA-His". It matches the Rfam family "tRNA". Rfam says of the family: Transfer RNA (tRNA) molecules are approximately 80 nucleotides in length. The record is from RNAcentral. Lineage: Bacteria; Pseudomonadati; Ignavibacteriota; Ignavibacteria.
GUGAGUGUAGCUCAGCUUGGUUAGAGCAUCAGAUUGUGGCUCUGAGGGUCAAGGGUUCGAAUCCCUUCACUCACC